UACGGAGGAUGCGAGCGUUAUCCGGAUUUAUUGGGUUUAAAGGGAGCGCAGACGGGUCGUUAAGUCAGCUGUGAAAGUUUGGGGCUCAACCUUAAAAUUGCAGUUGAUACUGGCGUCCUUGAGUGCGGUUGAGGUGUGCGGAAUUCGUGGUGUAGCGGUGAAAUGCUUAGAUAUCACGAAGAACUCCGAUUGCGAAGGCAGCACACUAAUCCGUAACUGACGUUCAUGCUCGAAAGUGUGGGUAUCAAACAGG
This 253-nucleotide ribosomal RNA is filed under the name Phocaeicola plebeius DSM 17135. RNAcentral describes it as "partial 16S ribosomal RNA". It matches the Rfam family "Bacterial small subunit ribosomal RNA", at positions 524 to 776 of the family's 1533-position model. Lineage: Bacteria; Pseudomonadati; Bacteroidota; Bacteroidia; Bacteroidales; Bacteroidaceae. The record is from RNAcentral. RNAcentral also lists the same sequence under 1 other name.